Molecule: ribosomal RNA, 367 nt
Filed under: Cryptosporidium parvum
Lineage: Eukaryota; Apicomplexa; Conoidasida; Eucoccidiorida; Cryptosporidiidae
Description: partial 18S ribosomal RNA
Rfam family: Eukaryotic small subunit ribosomal RNA
Source: RNAcentral
UAUAAAAUAUUUUGAUGAAUAUUUAUAUAAUAUUAACAUAAUUCAUAUUACUAUUUUUUUUUUUAGUAUAUGAAAUUUUACUUUGAGAAAAUUAGAGUGCUUAAAGCAGGCAUAUGCCUUGAAUACUCCAGCAUGGAAUAAUAUUAAAGAUUUUUAUCUUUUUUAUUGGUUCUAAGAUAAGAAUAAUGAUUAAUAGGGACAGUUGGGGGCAUUUGUAUUUAACAGUCAGAGGUGAAAUUCUUAGAUUUGUUAAAGACAAACUAAUGCGAAAGCAUUUGCCAAGGAUGUUUUCAUUAAUCAAGAACGAAAGUUAGGGGAUCGAAGACGAUCAGAUACCGUCGUAGUCUUAACCAUAAACUAUGCCAAC